GGGGGGUACAUUAUUUCUUUGUUCAGAAGAAAAGCAAAAACAAAAGACAAUGGAGAUAUUACUUAACAAAAAUACAAAGGGAGUGGUCCAAUUUGGUGGUAGUUGGUGAAAAUGCAAUUGAAAGGUAAGGUACUAGAGAGAGAAGAAAUGAACCACUUGGGACAAACUCAUAGGGUUGGGGGGGUAUUCAAUAUCAAUCAACUGAUCCGACGGCAGAUAGUGAUUCCAUCACCAACCGGGAGCAUGCAAAUCUCAAUCCUAGGGUCAGCAGCAAGAGCCUUGUUAAGCUCAAGAACAAAGUCCCUGUAGUAACGAACGUACUUCCUCAUCGGUGCAUCAGGAGGAGCCACGACAGAACCGUUCCACAGAGUGUUGUCGUAGCCAAUCACUCCACCAACUUUCACAAGAUCAAUCAAACGCUUGUGGUAGUUGAUAUAGUUGUCCUUGUCAGCAUCAACGAAAAUAAAGUCAUAUGUUCCAUGGUUCUUCUCCUGCACCCAACCACACACAAUCAUAAAUUAUUUUCUUCCUUGUAUGAAAAAGGAAACAAAUCUGUUUUCACAAUAAAAAAAUCUCAUCAAAAUUAUUAAAAAUCAAGAUACGGUUCUGGGUUGGUUCGAUUCCAAAUGUUUUGUACCUAUAAAAUAUUAAGAUAAGAAUGCUUACGUCAGCAACAAGUUGAUCAAGAACAGGUAGAGCAGGGCCUUCCCUGAAGUCGAUCUUGUGGGCAACGCCGGCUUUCUCGAUGAUCGGCAAACCCAAUUCGUAAUUCUCUCUGUUAACAUCCAUAGCCAGAAUCUGAGGGUGAAACAGAACAAAGNNNNNNNNNNNNNNNNNNNNNNNNNNNNNNNNNNNNNNNNNNNNNNNNNNNNNNNNNNNNNNNNNNNNNNNNNNNNNNNNNNNNNNNNNNNNNNNNNNNNNNNNNNNNNNNNNNNNNNNNNNNNNNNNNNNNNNNNNNNNNNNNNNNNNNNNNNNNNNNNNNNNNNNNNNNNNNNNNNNNNNNNNNNNNNNNNNNNNNNNNNNNNNNNNNNNNNNNNNNNNNNNNNNNNNNNNNNNNNNNNNNNNNNNNNNNNNNNNNNNNNNNNNNNNNNNNNNNNNNNNNNNNNUUUUUUUAAAAAAAUUAAUAUUUUUUACAUUCCGAGGAAAUUAAUUAUAUUUUUCACUUGAUCGAUCGAUGCGUUUUUGAACAAAAAAGCAUCGAUCGAUGCGUUUUUUAAAAAACGUUCGGGCUAUACCGAGGGACAGCUCCCUCGGAAAAUUCCGAGGGAGCUGUGCCUCGGUAUAUUCCGAGGGACCAGUUCCCUCGGAAUAUACCGAGGGAAAAGUUCCUCGGAAUAAACCGAGGAAAAGGUCCGUCGGUAUACUCCUAUCGAUCGAUGUAUAUAUGUCCAAACACGCAUCGAUCGAUGAACUUCUGAGGAAUUAUACCGACGAAAAGAACCUCUCAACUAUCUAUAGCUUACAAAAGCAAACAACGAGAAAGAAACACAGCAAUCGAGAAGAAAUCAAAUCUAUUUUUAAUCAAAGAAGAAGAAGCUAUGGGUCUCUCUAAGGCACGCAAGCUACUCUUAGUGCUCGUGAUCACUGCCUACUUCUUUUCCGGGACUGCUCAUGCAUGGAGCUGGAACUGGGGUUCUGGACAAUCCGGUUCGAGCUGGGGAUGGGGUUGGGGCUCCGACAAUAACUCUGGCUCAGGUUCAGGUGGUGGUUCAAGCUGGGGUUGGGGAUGGAGCUCGAACGGAACAGAUACAAACUGGGGUUGGGGAAGCAGCUCUGGCUCAAGUGGCACCGGGUCUACACAUAAAAGCUACCACAACCACACGGCCCCAUCAAACCACUCGAACGGCAGUGGUAGUAUUGGCUCUACACACAACAACCACACGGCUCAAGUAUCGCCUAGAAGAAAGAUUGAGGUUACUGUGUGGAAGAACGGAUUCGAUUACCAAGAAUGGGCUUCAAAGCAUGCACCCUUCCACACCAACGAUGUCCUUUCUUUCAAGUACAACGAUAAAAGUCAAUCCAAGACGAAGAAGCACAACAAUAACAAGAACGAUGUCUACUUGCUUCCAGACUUGAAGAGCUACAAGAGAUGCGAUGUGAGCAGAGCCAAGAAGCUAGUCGCAAGAGGAGCUAGGCUCAUCAUUAGGGUUUAAGUUGCUUCUCCGCAAGACUCCUGAGACCUACUACUUCGCUAGUGGAGACCACAAUGGCUGCAACCACAGCAUGAAGUUCUCUGUCUCCCCGAUUCCUCGUUCUUCUUCACACACUAAACCCUAAAUAUCACUUCACUACUUUGUUUCCUUGUUAGAUUCUGUUUGGUUUAUAUUUUUUUAAUUUGUUUCUUGUGCUUCAUGUCAACGAUGGAUUGAUUUAUUACAAAUUUAUUUGGAGAUAAUAAUGAUUUAUUAUAAUUUUAAUACACACACAAAAGAGGAUCAACGUAUAUAUAUAGUUACAUAUCGACUAAUAAAAAAUCUCAUCCUUUUGCGGCUUAAGCACACAAAUGUUAAAAGUUUCAAACUGUUUAAAUUCAUCACUUGACAAAACACUAAUCUUUCUAAGCUUCUUGCUGGAUUGCACGUCUGAGCCUAAGUCUAGUAUUAGCAUCUUCCUAACGCCCUGUCAAGACACCACCAUCCCCUGCAUCCUCACUGCUUUGGUUUUGGUGAGCCAAAACAGCUUCCCCAAAGUUAUGGAGCCUCCGACCAAUGAGGUAACGGUCGUCCCGGAUGGAGUUGUGAAGGUUUCUGAACCAAACAUGGCAUCUAUUUGCACAGAAGCAGACGAGACUCACCGAGAGACAACCUAUCCAAGCAUAUCUGUAGACGGCCGAGUUCACAACCAGUGGAUAUCCUAGCAUCGGGAACACUCCUCUUGCCAGAACAUAAGGCACACAUAAUGCUGUCAGAAGUUUCAUCACGAUUGGGAAUAAAAUUUCUCUAAAUACCCAUAACCCUUGAAGCCUUGAGAAUCUAUCUCCUUCUACUCUCUCAAACUUUGCUUUCCAACUAUCAUCCAGCAAUAUUAUCUGUCCAUUGUUGUCAUUUUUAGUGACAUGCUACGUUUGUCCCCCCAAAAAAGUGACAUGCUACAUAUUCUUUAUGCGAUACAAAAAAAAAAAGAGUACUAACCAAUGUUGACCAGAUUUUCAAAACGAUGAGCCCAAGAGGCCAGUCUUGAUACAGGAGGAAGACAGGGCUUUCAUCUACCGGGACUCUCAUUGGGACAAUCACCAAAAGCUCAAACACAAGUCCUAUUAGUACCGGAAUGACAAAAACCUGUUCAGGAAACCAUUUUCUAAUACACAACAUCAAAUGAGUUUUGUAGUAUUUUAAAAUUCUGAAAAGAAAAAAACAAUUCACUUACCCAUAUGGCUAACAGCACCGAGCUCUUGAAAACAAUCUCACACCAUUUCCAUAUUUCCUUUCUUGAAGUUCUUUUUGACUUGACAUGCUCGAUAGUAUACAUGGCCCCAGAUAUGGUAGUCCAAAAGGCAUAUGUGCCAAUGACGUAAGCAUACAGGUCUACAGAUUUAAGAGGAUAUCAUAUUAAAAUUGUCUAUCCCUUUACAAUAAAGAAGCACUAGAUCGAAUGUAACACACAUUACCAUUGUACUUGAUGAUGCCAUGCGUUAUAGGGAGAGUUGGUAUGGCAUUAAAUAGAGCACGUCCUACAGAAACUGGUACAACUAUCAAUGUCGUAUUGAAGAGAAGAAGAGUAAUCCAUGCAGCAAGUAGAAGAAGGACUAUCCGGAGCACAAAGUUGUACCUCCUGAAAUAUUUGGUUCAUUUCAGGGUAAGGCCUAAUGAAAAAUUUGAAGCUUGUUUCUUAAGUAACAACUUACUCUGAAUCAGAUUGUCCUCUGUUCUGCCUUCCUGGUUCGCCAUUUCCAUUGUCCUGGCCAACGUUGUCCUCCGGUCUUGGUAAGAGGAAGUCUGUCAAACCAAGCGCCCAGCCAACACAGGUGAACCAGAAGCGUACAAGGGACUCAACAGCGGUCCAGAGUCUAAAGUGCUCGAUGAUAAACUGUGUGCAUAUGGUGAACAGGAGCAUGCCAGCAGGGAUCUCAGUGAAUGGGUCGGAUACACUGUGUAGAUGCACAACUUAUUAAACACACUAAAUGUCAAAAAAAAAAAAAAGAAACAAGAUUCAAUCAUGCAAGACGACAUUGUGUACAUACACAAAGUUAGUAAACACACAACGUCUCCAAAAAACAAGAUGCAUGCCAACUUUCUUACGAUAUGUUAAGAGGGAAGAUUGAAGGUGCCAUCCUGAUCGCAAGUUUGACUGGCAAAAACACCAGCAAGACAAUCAAACUCCCAAGCUUUGCAGAAUCUAACAAAACAUUUCGAGCAAGCUUGUGCACUGGUUCUUCAAUAAAUAACUGGAAUGUGUCAUCCUCAUAUUCGGGAUCAUAAAAGAAAUUCAAAACUCCAGGGCGAAGAACCUGCACAAAAGUGGAAAAAAAUAUUAGAUAUUAGCAGAAAAGAAACCUUAAAUGAGGAGGGACCAUGGUACCUGUUGAAGAAGCUCCUCAAAUAUGAUUAUUUUCAAUAAGUACAAUAGUCCAACAACCCAGUGAACAAGUGAGCUCGCCAGUGGAGAAACCGAUAAAAACUCUACUCUAUGGGACAUUGUUUUACCAAACACCUUAACCGUGCAAACAUCUAACAACCACCCGCACAUCAAGGGGACGACACCAAGCAUUAAGACAAACACGACACCACCAUAGAACUGCCUAAGGAGAGGUGGUAUUGUUUCUACUAUUGAAGCAACACCACCGUAGAAUCUUCCAGCGGUCAGUGGCUCACCCUUGAGGUAUUGAAUCAAGGGAAUGAGUCCAAGGUAAAUGAACACAAGACAGUCUCCAAACAUGUGCCCAUCAGUGCAAGUUGUAGCAACGUAUAGCUUUGGUGGUCCAGCUCCAGCAACAAAACAUUUCAAAAGAUGAGAUACUAGUCCAUUUUCUUGUCCCUCGUGAGUCAAAUUUGAGACCGAAGCAGGGCCUCUAGCAUCAGCAAAAACACACAACACAUGAUAUAAUAUAAACCGUCCUAGUGUGAAGGGCACAAAGAUGACAACACCAAGGAAUAUCAUAUUGCUUGCCAGAACCUGCAAAGUUAUGCACAUACAUAUAAGAUUUUUUAAAUGAGAAAAGGACGAAACAUGAUUCAACUUACAGGAAAGGCCGCAUUAUCAUACACCGGACCAUGCAUUCCAAACCGCACGUAAAAUUGAAAGUACAUUCGCAAAUGCCUAAAGUAGUCCCUCAAUGUGGCAGCUCCACUGAGGAUGAAGAUGAUAGUUGUUGAUAGUAAGAAACCAAGCAAACAAUCGGCUAGGACAACUACGGUGGACAUGUGGCUUAAGAACAGUCUCUGAGCUUCACCAAAACUCUGAACAAAAGCCAAUCUCCAUGUCCAAAACGUAAUGAAAGGAAUAGUGAGAAACCAGACCGAAAGCACUAAACACAACCGAAGAAAGACGUGCAGAGCACGGCAACUGCAAACUUUCAUCCCAAUGCCAACAACAAACUCAUUGAAAGGGAGUCUUGUAGGAGCGUGUUCAGCAUAAAGCGGAGAGAAUGAAAAACGAUGCUUGCAAACCUCGCAUUGAUGAGCUUUGCAGUAGCUAAGCCAUUGAAGGAGGCAAUCUUGGUGCACAAACUUGAUGCUUCCCCUGCAGGCGCAUGGAUAUUGAAGAGGGUUGUCUGUAUCCCCUGGAGUUCUGCAGAUCCUGCAAACGUCCUCAUCACCUUCUUCAUCAUCAAUGUACCUCGCCGUUGCAGUUGUGUGAGCCAUGGUGGAGUAAGCGGUGGGAGGAGGCCUAAACCCUUAACAUUGUAAGAAUAAAAAGGUAAAAAAGGGUUAUACUUUUCUUUUUACCUCGAAAAAUAAAAAAAGGAGUCCAGACGAGGUAGUCCAAGUGGCAGGACGGGCCUGUGGUGGCAACCACCAUCCGGGUUCGAUUUCCUCCUCAUGCGGAUAUAGAUGGCAAUCGUUUACUCGGUUCUUCUUCGUCUUUUUUUUUUUUUUUUUUUAACUAAAAAAAAAAACCAAAACAAAAAACCCCAAAAAAAAAAAAAAAAAAAAAAAAAAAAAAAAAAAAAGGAAAUUUGUAUUUUCUUCUUGAACAUUUACUACAACCUUGCUCGGCAAGGCGUAAUUAUUCUGUCUUUUGAUUUUUUUUAAAAUUAGUUAUGAUGAAUCCAAAAUUUUAGUUAAAAAUUAUAUAUAGUGGUUACAUAAAUAUUAUGUUGUGUUGUAGAAGUUUCUCUUAAUUCAAUUAAUGGUUUGAUUAAUGAUUAGCUAAUGCUUUUAUAUCUGGAAUCUGAAUUUCGAAUCCUAGAAAAUGUGAUCUCUAUAAUAUUAUUUGAGAAACCAGUUUUUUCUUUAUGUAUCCGCUCACGUUAAUUCUUACAACGAUUAUUUACAGAGCUACCCUUAAUGAAUUAAAAUAUUGAAUCUAAAUACUAUUUUUUUAGUUUCCAUUUUAAUUUUUUCAAAUAACAUAUAUAAUAAAAAAGAAACAUUUAUAAACUUUAGAAACGAAUUUAAAAAUGAAAAUAUAUGUGUAUAUAUAAUAUGAUUUCAUUAAAAAUGAAAGUUCACAAUAUAGUAAUAUUACGUUUAAAACAUUUUUUACAAAAAAAAAAAUACUUUCAAUGUAAUAAAAAUAUUUUCUUUAUAUCUAUAUUUGGAAAUAUUGACAUUUUUAGAAAUAGGAAAGUUCACAAAAUAGUAAUCCUCCAACGUUUUGUUUUAUUUUUUUUGGAAAUAUUGACAUUUUUAGAAAUAACAAAUUAAAAAUAUGUUUGUCGUAUUCUAAUUGGUUGUUUUAAAUCCUAUGUAGACGCUUUCAAUGACUUAUGUGUCCUCAACUUUUAUACAAAGUUUUGCAUUUUCUGAAUUAAUUAUUAUUUGGUAUUUUAUUUGGGAAAAUUUUAUGUUUACCACUUUCAUAGUACCACUUUUCAUCUUUACCACCACUAAAGAGAUAUUUUCAAAAAUAUCUUCUUCAUUAAGUGGCAAAAGAAUCUUAUACUCUUAUUAUCUAUAUAUAUAAUAAAUCAUUAUUUAAAUAAAUAAAAAAUAUUUAAAAAAAUAUUUUUAUUUUUUAUGUUUUCGAAUUAUACUUUUUCAAAUUCUAACUUUUUAUAUAAAAAAAAAUUUGAUUUGUUUUUCGAAUUUUUUUUUUUUUUUCAAAAUUUCUUUAGUUACUGAAAACGUAGAGACUCUAGAUUACAUAUUCAAUUCAUGUUGGGACACAUCUACUCUCAACCUAAGUUAUGGUUUAGGUCUCGUCAUUAGAGAAUGUAGGGGCCUCCCAGAACCUCUUAGUCAUAAAUAUAAGAAUAGUGUGAUAUAGAAAUUGUCAAUUGCUUGAGCUUUCUCUUUGUGUUGUCAAAUGAAGUGACUUUUAAAAACAUAACUUGCUGUAGACAGUAAUUAGUAACGUUCGUGUGUAAUAUAUCUCCAUAUGCACAAUGGGAUCGACUUACGAGUAAAGUUGUUGUUGCACGGCAUGUAUUCAUUCAUCAAAGAUGUUGCUGCCACUAAACCUCAAUGCAUCUUCAUCACUGACUCAAAUUCUUCAAGCAAGAGGUUAAAUAGUGCUCAAUCUUAAAUGACUAAUGUUUUUGCGACAACAUAUGGUUCAUUCUUCGUUUUAGGCCUAGGCAUUUCGGGUAUCGGUUCGGGUAUUUCGGGUUUUGGGUAGUUCGGAUAGAGGCUAGAGGAUCCAUUUAGUACUUGACCUAUUUUCGGUUCGGUUCGGUUCGGUUCGGUUCGGAUAGUUUCGGGUUCGGUUCGGUUCGGAUAGUAAAUGUAGAAACCGGAAAAUAUCCGGAAAAAGUUCGGUUCUCAUUUAGAUCCGGUUCGGGUUCGGAUAGUUCGGGUAGUUCGGAUAAUUUGGAUAAAAUAUCGGUUAUUUAGGGUAAAAUAUCAAAUAAUUAGGAUGAUUUAGAUAAAAAAUUUGGAUAUUUCGGAUUACUUUGGAUAUUUCGGAUAAAACUACCUGGAUAGUUUCGGAUACUUUCGGGUAGUUUGGAUACUUUAUAAUAAUUUAGUUAUCCUCAACUAUUUUGAGAUACUUUUAAUAGAAUUUUAAAUUAAAAAUAUAUAUUUAGUGAUGUUAUAUGUAUAUAUAAUUAAUAUUUUUAUAUAUUCGGGUACCCGUUCUGUUCUCGGUUCGGUUCCGGUUCGGUUCGGUUAUUUCGGAUAUAAAAAUAUAGGAACCGUUCGGGUAUUUGAGGGUAUUAGUCCGGUUCCGGUUUCGGGUAUUUCGGUUCGGUUCUUCGGUUCCGGUUAUUUUGCCCAGGUCUACUUCUUUAAUCUAACAUCCUGUAAUAUGUUUAACUACGGAUUAGAUAUGUGAAGUAUAAUUCUAUGGAAAAAUGCGACGUAUCUCUUCUUACGGUUUUGAUCUUAAACUAUUUUGUCUGCUCUCUUUUGACAAAUGAAAUCCCCCAAAAUAACAAGUACAUCACUAAUCUUUGUUUUAGUUACGUAGCUGAAAGUCUGAAAUUACCUAACUGUGUUUAGUAUUUCAAAAACUGAUGACCCAAGACUUCCUACUUUGUGCUUUUCUUUCUCUCACUAUAUAAUAAAUUGACAAUGUUAACAAAGACUUUUCAACUUAAGUGUAUGAUGAUCAUUGAUUUAGAAUAACACCAUUUUAGGGGGAAAGUCAUUCACGUUCAUGUGGACAGAUGGUAAAGAGUCCAACACGUUUUGUUCUUUAUAGGUUCCUCUUGUAAUAACUAUGGAGAUAAGCUAAUCCUAUUAAUCUGCAUCACGCCAUAGUAACCAUUUUGUCUAUUAAAAUGCAAAAGUUCUUCUCUCUUUUUUUACUCUCACUUAGAUCUCUUUACAAAAAUUAAAUGAGUGAUAUAUUCUUUUAGAUGUUGUAUCAUAAAGUAAAAACAAACGAAACAAGAAAGGCAGGGUACAUUAUUUCUUUGUUCAGAAGAAAAGCAAAAACAAAAGACAAUGGAGAUAUUACUUAACAAAAUACAAAGGGAGUGGUCCAAUUUGGUGGUAGUUGGUGAAAAUGCAUUUGAAAGGUAGGGUACUAGAGAGAGAAGAAUUGAACCACUUGGGACAAACUCAUAGGGUUGGGGGUAUUCCAUAUCAAUCAACUGAUCCGACGGCAGAUAGUGAUUCCAUCACCAACCGGGAGCAUGCAAAUCUCAAUCCUAGGGUCAGCAGCAAGAGCCUUGUUAAGCUCAAGAACAAA
RNAcentral lists this long non-coding RNA (9237 nucleotides) under Brassica napus (rape). RNAcentral describes it as "long non-coding RNA (BNAP_LNC014514)". The record is from RNAcentral. Lineage: Eukaryota; Viridiplantae; Streptophyta; Magnoliopsida; Brassicales; Brassicaceae.